GGCUCAGAUUGAACGCUGGCGGCAGGCCUAACACAUGCAAGUCGAACGGUAACAGGAAGAGCUUGCUUCUUUGCUGACGAGUGGCGGACGGGUGAGUAAUGUCUGGGAAACUGCCUGAUGGAGGGGGAUAACUACUGGAAACGGUAGCUAAUACCGCAUAACGUCGCAAGACCAAAGAGGGGGACCUUCGGGCCUCUUGCCAUCGGAUGUGCCCAGAUGGGAUUAGCUGUGGUGGGGUAACGGCUCACCUAGGCGACGAUCCCUAGCUGGUCUGAGAGGAUGACCAGCCACACUGGAACUGAGACACGGUCCAGACUCCUACGGGAGGCAGCAGUGGGGAAUAUUGCACAAUGGGCGCAAGCCUGAUGCAGCCAUGCCGCGUGUAUGAAGAAGGCCUUCGGGUUGUAAAGUACUUUCAGCGGGGAGGAAGGGAGUAAAGUUAAUACCUUUGCUCAUUGACGUUACCCGCAGAAGAAGCACCGGCUAACUCCGUGCCAGCAGCCGCGGUAAUACGGAGGGUGCAAGCGUUAAUCGGAAUUACUGGGCGUAAAGCGCACGCAGGCGGUUUGUUAAGUCAGAUGUGAAAUCCCCGGGCUCAACCUGGGAACUGCAUCUGAUACUGGCAAGCUUGAGUCUCGUAGAGGGGGGUAGAAUUCCAGGUGUAGCGGUGAAAUGCGUAGAGAUCUGGAGGAAUACCGGUGGCGAAGGCGGCCCCCUGACGAAGAC
This 726-nucleotide ribosomal RNA is filed under the name Escherichia sp. RNAcentral describes it as "bacterial SSU rRNA". It matches the Rfam family "Bacterial small subunit ribosomal RNA", at positions 21 to 740 of the family's 1533-position model. Lineage: Bacteria; Pseudomonadati; Pseudomonadota; Gammaproteobacteria; Enterobacterales; Enterobacteriaceae. The record is from RNAcentral.